GAUGAACGCUGGCGGCGUGCCUAAUACAUGCAAGUCGAGCGAACAGACGAGGAGCUUGCUUCUCUGAUGUUAGCGGCGGACGGGUGAGUAACACGUGGAUAACCUACCUAUAAGACUGGGAUAACUUCGGGAAACCGUAGCUAAUACCGGAUAAUAUUUUGAACCGCAUGGUUCAAAAGUGAAAGACGGUCUUGCUGUCACUUAUAGAUGGAUCCGCGCUGCAUUAGCUAGUUGGUAAGGUAACGGCUUACCAAGGCAACGAUGCAUAGCCGACCUGAGAGGGUGAUCGGCCACACUGGAACUGAGACACGGUCCAGACUCCUACGGGAGGCAGCAGUAGGGAAUCUUCCGCAAUGGGCGAAAGCCUGACGGAGCAACGCCGCGUGAGUGAUGAAGGUCUUCGGAUCGUAAAACUCUGUUAUUAGGGAAGAACAUAUGUGUAAGUAACUGUGCACGUCUUGACGGUACCUAAUCAGAAAGCCACGGCUAACUACGUG
This 497-nucleotide ribosomal RNA is filed under the name uncultured bacterium. Its description in RNAcentral is "partial 16S ribosomal RNA". It matches the Rfam family "Bacterial small subunit ribosomal RNA", at positions 28 to 507 of the family's 1533-position model. The record is from RNAcentral.